CAGGUGAGGACAAGAAACAGAGCUUGACACUAGUCUGGAUUUGCCUCUCGGAUCUGGCUGAGCUGGGGAAGCACUGUCCUUUGGUGACGGUGGGACCCUGUGCUUCCAGGAGCGGGGCUAAGAGGUGAGAGCACCCUCCACACCCCAGGAUCCUGGCAGGUGGAGAUGGAAGCAGCUGAGACUGAGCAGUAGCACCAGGCAGGGAGAGUGCCCCCACCUUGAGUCUACCUGCUCUUGAGGCCACAUGUUGGGGCAGGGCCUCAGCCCCAGGAGCCUGGCAGGUGGAAGGAGACUUUUCAGUUUUGGGUUGCUGGUGGCUGACCUGAGACGCUGACCGCUACAUCCAUCCACAGAGCUGCUGCGGGAAGGCCUGGAUGCAUCAUGUUAGGGGCUGGUGGGAGUACUCGGGACACGUGGGGCGUAUACCUUUGUCUUGCAAACCCAAAAUCAGGAUGCUCUUGACUCAGUCUGAGAGCAGGGAACUGUGCCAGAAACUCAGCACGUUUUGGGAGACAUAUGGAAGGAAUACCCCCCACUUCCCACCUAUCACCCCUGCACCUUUCUCCAGCUAGGCUAUCCGCUCCCCAUUCUCCCCAUAAGAGUGGCUGGCAGUGGGGAGCCUGCCACUCCCCUGGGUUUGGCCCUAUCACCUACAGAAUAAAGCCCCACUCCUUGCCGGUCGCGUUACCGUGAUCUGACCCUUGCCCACCGCCAGCCCCAUCUUUCACUAUGUCAUGUGGAUCGCUGUAUUAUUUAAGAAAGUCAAAUUGGGCCAUAAAAAUAAGAGAAUUAAAUAAGGAAGACAGAUGAAGCUAAGUACAGAAGAUUUAUACUAGACACAGUAUACCAAGGAGAGCACCUACAUGCUGAACAUAGGAAGGGACAGAGGGACCAAUGGCACUAAAUAGCCAAAUAUUGAUGCUAUGCUUAAUAUUCAUGAGGCAUAUGGAACAUUCAAUAUUUAUUAGGUCUUAAGUCAGCCACCCAUUGGCAAUGGCUAUUCUGACCCUCUGUGUCCCCUGCCCAAGAAAUGCAGAGAAAGGUGUAGCUGUUCUCCAGGUGAACUGACGGCUACAGCUGUGGCCAGGCACUCGUCCCUAUACCAGAGAGAGGGCAAUUCUGUGCCAUUGGCCCAAGUGCUUUCCAUUGCAUGGGCUCCUUGGUUCAAACUUCACUCCAUCAGCAGUGAAGGCUGAUGUGGCAGGGAGAGAGGUGGCACAAAGAAACACUGUGUCAGCAGGAUGCAGGCAGUGUGGUCCUCCCAUCUGCACACACACUAGCCUAACCAGCUAUCUCAUCGCCUUUCCCUGGUGUCUUGCUAUGUGUUUGUAAUUGAUACACUAUUAGCCAGGUGUGGUGGUGCACGCCUGUAGUCCCAGCUACUUGGGAGGCUGAGGUGGGAGGAACACUUGAGCCCAGGAAGUAGAGGCUGCAGUGAGCCGAGAUCACACGACUGCACUCCAGCCUGGGUGACAGAGCGAGACCCUGUC
RNAcentral lists this long non-coding RNA (1490 nucleotides) under Homo sapiens (human). Its description in RNAcentral is "HSALNT0382485". Lineage: Eukaryota; Metazoa; Chordata; Mammalia; Primates; Hominidae. The record is from RNAcentral.